AGAACUUCUGAAUCACCCCAGUGAUGUGCCCCUUUAAAAACUUCAGGAAGUUUGCAAAGUAUUUCAGCUUCAAGGCUCCCAGAAAUGCCUGGACAUGAGCCAGAGAUGAAGCAGACGCUUCUGAGCACAGUUGGUUUAACGAAGGAGUGAAUGUACAACAUUCAAACUAGGACCAACUGCCGUGGGUGUUUAUUUGAGACUUCUUCCAGAAUCACACCCACAGAUCUCGCCUGCCUAAUCAGAAUGACAUAAGUCACAGGCUGUUGCUGCCUUGUUUGUGAUUGAAAUCAGAUAACACCUUGAGAGAGGACUGAGGUCACUGGCAGUCAGCACUGGAGAGCAGAUCAUGUUUUAUUGAUUAGGAACAACUGAUGUGUCAUAGGGAAGACUUAAUAAUGCCACAGAAGAUCCCAAUGAGGAAGGAGCUCAUACUGUAUCUUCAGAGGGAAUGGAGCCAAGCCACUGAGAAAUCCGCCAUGUUGAAUUAGGCCAUGUCGCAUCCAAGAGGUUGUGGAAAAGCCAAAACACAUUUGGCUGAACAAACACCAUCAUAAGUUGUUAUAGUGUACAGAUUUCUUUUAGGUUGUAUGGCACU
Long non-coding RNA from Lontra canadensis (Northern American river otter), 595 nucleotides. RefSeq lists it as uncharacterized. The transcript has 4 exons. The record is from RefSeq and is a predicted model, not a curated record. Lineage: Eukaryota; Metazoa; Chordata; Mammalia; Carnivora; Mustelidae.